GUCUAUGGCCAUACCACCCAGAAUGCGUCUGAUCUUUUCUGGCUUCAAAAGCUAAGCAGGGUUGGGCCUGUUUAGUACUUGGAUGGGAGACUGUGCAGCCACUGAAU
RNAcentral lists this ribosomal RNA (107 nucleotides) under Oryctolagus cuniculus (rabbit). Lineage: Eukaryota; Metazoa; Chordata; Mammalia; Lagomorpha; Leporidae. The record is from RNAcentral.